Molecule: ribosomal RNA, 492 nt
Filed under: uncultured bacterium
Lineage: Bacteria
Description: partial 16S ribosomal RNA
Rfam family: Bacterial small subunit ribosomal RNA
Source: RNAcentral
AGUGAACGCUGGCGGUAGGCCUAACACAUGCAAGUCGAACGGCAGCACAGUAAGAGCUUGCUCUUACGGGUGGCGAGUGGCGGACGGGUGAGGAAUACAUCGGAAUCUACUUUUUCGUGGGGGAUAACGUAGGGAAACUUACGCUAAUACCGCAUACGACUUACGGGUGAAAGCAGGGGAUCUUCGGACCUUGCGCGAUUGAAUGAGCCGAUGUCGGAUUAGCUAGUUGGCGGGGUAAAGGCCCACCAGGGCGACGAUCCGUAGCUGGUCUGAGAGGAUGAUCAGCCACACUGGAACUGAGACACGGUCCAGACUCCUACGGGAGGCAGCAGUGGGGAAUAUUGGACAAUGGGCGCAAGCCUGAUCCAGCCAUACCGCGUGGGUGAAGAAGGCCUUCGGGUUGUAAAGCCCUUUUGUUGGGAAAGAAAAGCAGCAGGUUAAUACCCCGCUGUUCUGACGGUACCCAAAGAAUAAGCACCGGCUAACUUCGUG